ACGCUUAAUUUCCUCCCUCUCUCUUUUUUUUUUUUUUUUUCUGGUCAAACAUGUUGAGCAUGUUGCCACAUAAACUCUCACCUGCUAUCUAGUUUAGCCUUCCACCUCCUCACAAACAUUUGCAGGCUAAUUUCACAGCUAUAUCCUUUUUAUGUUCUUGUUGAAAUAUUCGACAUUAUUCAAGUUGAUUGCAGUUUAAAGAGAUCCAGGAAGUUUCAACCUGAAGAUAGGCUGUUUUCAUUAUCUUCCACCACCUCACCGGCGGCAGAAGAACAAGCUGCUGGACGAGAUGGUGGGGCUUUAUUGGCUAAUGGACAGCAAGUAUUUUAUUUCGUCUGAUGCAGAGGGAAACCAAAGAAGGGUAGGGGUGGCCCUAGAGAUGCAAAGAGAUCGAGGCAAUCAAGCGAACCAGAUUUUGACUAUGAAGACGAUGCUGAUUUAAUGUAGUGGUGACUCCUCGUAUGAUGGUACAUCUGUUGGUAUUGCAUGAUGCAGGUUGAUAACUUCCUUGCGAAUGCAUUCAAACCGAGGUGGAAAUGGAGCUUUUUUGGGUGUCAUAAUGUACAUUAUUAUGCGAUCCUUGCUUGGCUAUCAUUUCAGCAUAUGCUGUUGUAAGUAGAUAUGUACAAAUCCCCAUGAUUUUCAUGCAAGAAGGGGAAAAACAACUAAGGCAGGACAUCUUUUUCAAUCAUCUUGUCUUGGCAGGGAUAGAAUUACGUUGGCGCUUGGCAGUCAAAAAUUUUGUGGCCGACUGGAUCCGGCAAAUUGCAAUUGUCAUUUUGUCGAGAUCCUUGGUAUUCUGAGAUUCUCCGUUGCUAGUUCGACAUUGUUAAAGUUCCGGGGCUAGAAAUCUAUGGCUUUACUAUCAGAUGUCAAGGCUGCGACGCCCCUCUUCAUGUUUGUUGUGGAAUAGUAGAGUAGGUUCACAUUUUUUUCCGGUUGAAUGUCGUAUAUGGUGUCGGCUAUUUUUUAUGACCUGCUGAUGUUGCUUUGGCAUCUUCCUCCUCAUAAUGCGUUUUUAAGUCCAAUUGU
Coffea arabica (coffee) is the source of this 1032-nucleotide non-coding RNA. NCBI's taxonomy places the organism in Eukaryota, Viridiplantae, Streptophyta, Magnoliopsida, Gentianales, Rubiaceae. The record is from RefSeq and is a predicted model, not a curated record.